Molecule: non-coding RNA, 46 nt
Filed under: Echinostoma caproni
Lineage: Eukaryota; Metazoa; Platyhelminthes; Trematoda; Plagiorchiida; Echinostomatidae
Source: RNAcentral
GCACUGCUGACGAGUCCCAAACAGGACGGAAUAACUGGUCCAGUGC